This 127-nucleotide microRNA precursor is filed under the name Gossypium raimondii (Peruvian cotton). RNAcentral describes it as "miR8678 stem-loop (gra-MIR8678)". Lineage: Eukaryota; Viridiplantae; Streptophyta; Magnoliopsida; Malvales; Malvaceae. The record is from miRBase by way of RNAcentral.
AACUUGGAUGUCCUACAUGGCAAUCCAAAUUAAAAUUAUUUAAUUAAAAACUAUUUUCAUCCCAACAACUGGAUAUUGAAAUUGGCAGUUAAAACCAAUUUGGACUGUCACGUAGGACUACCGUUAG